This 253-nucleotide ribosomal RNA is filed under the name uncultured bacterium. RNAcentral's name for it is "partial 16S ribosomal RNA". It matches the Rfam family "Bacterial small subunit ribosomal RNA", at positions 524 to 776 of the family's 1533-position model. The record is from RNAcentral.
UACAGAGGUCCCAAGCGUUGUUCGGAUUCACUGGGCGUAAAGGGUGUGUAGGCGGUUGGGUAAGUCUGAUGUGAAAUCUCACAGCUUAACUGUGAAACUGCAUUGGAUACUAUCCGGCUAGAGGAAUGGAGGGGAGACUGGAAUACUUGGUGUAGCAGUGAAAUGCGUAGAUAUCAAGUGGAACACCAGUGGCGAAGGCGAGUCUCUGGACAUUUCCUGACGCUGAGGCACGAAAGCCAGGGGAGCAAACGGG